Molecule: ribosomal RNA, 820 nt
Filed under: Staphylococcus haemolyticus
Lineage: Bacteria; Bacillati; Bacillota; Bacilli; Caryophanales; Staphylococcaceae
Description: bacterial SSU rRNA
Rfam family: Bacterial small subunit ribosomal RNA
Source: RNAcentral
UCCUUUGACGUUAGCGGCGGACGGGUGAGUAACACGUGGGUAACCUACCUAUAAGACUGGGAUAACUUCGGGAAACCGGAGCUAAUACCGGAUAAUAUUUCGAACCGCAUGGUUCGAUAGUGAAAGAUGGUUUUGCUAUCACUUAUAGAUGGACCCGCGCCGUAUUAGCUAGUUGGUAAGGUAACGGCUUACCAAGGCGACGAUACGUAGCCGACCUGAGAGGGUGAUCGGCCACACUGGAACUGAGACACGGUCCAGACUCCUACGGGAGGCAGCAGUAGGGAAUCUUCCGCAAUGGGCGAAAGCCUGACGGAGCAACGCCGCGUGAGUGAUGAAGGUCUUCGGAUCGUAAAACUCUGUUAUUAGGGAAGAACAUACGUGUAAGUAACUAUGCACGUCUUGACGGUACCUAAUCAGAAAGCCACGGCUAACUACGUGCCAGCAGCCGCGGUAAUACGUAGGUGGCAAGCGUUAUCCGGAAUUAUUGGGCGUAAAGCGCGCGUAGGCGGUUUUUUAAGUCUGAUGUGAAAGCCCACGGCUCAACCGUGGAGGGUCAUUGGAAACUGGAAAACUUGAGUGCAGAAGAGGAAAGUGGAAUUCCAUGUGUAGCGGUGAAAUGCGCAGAGAUAUGGAGGAACACCAGUGGCGAAGGCGACUUUCUGGUCUGUAACUGACGCUGAUGUGCGAAAGCGUGGGGAUCAAACAGGAUUAGAUACCCUGGUAGUCCACGCCGUAAACGAUGAGUGCUAAGUGUUAGGGGGUUUCCGCCCCUUAGUGCUGCAGCUAACGCAUUAAGCACUCCGCCUGGGGAGUACGACCG